Molecule: ribosomal RNA, 306 nt
Filed under: Triticum aestivum (bread wheat)
Lineage: Eukaryota; Viridiplantae; Streptophyta; Magnoliopsida; Poales; Poaceae
Description: partial small subunit ribosomal RNA
Source: RNAcentral
AUGGCGGCAUGGAGGUCGCGGCGAUGCAGCGCAAUAAGACGCGGCGGCGAGCCGGGCGCGACCGGUGCGUGUUAUGGGUGCACACUGGACGCGUCGGGCGCCUCGGGACCGCGUCGAGGCGCUGGACCUGGUUGCGCAGAUCGCGUACGUGCGCGGCGGGAGCGCGGGCCGGGAACGCGGGGACGUGGGGAGUGCGCGCGAAGGGCACGGCGGUCGCGGAGACGAGGAGGUCGCGAAGGACCUAUGUGGUGGCGCAAAGGUCGCGACGGCUCGGGGCGACAACCGUGGAAGGUGCGUGACACAUAG